RNAcentral lists this ribosomal RNA (253 nucleotides) under uncultured prokaryote. RNAcentral's name for it is "partial 16S ribosomal RNA". It matches the Rfam family "Bacterial small subunit ribosomal RNA", at positions 524 to 776 of the family's 1533-position model. The record is from RNAcentral.
UACAGAGGUCCCAAGCGUUGUUCGGAUUUACUGGGCGUAAAGGGUGCGUAGGUGGUCGGGUAAGUCUGACGUGAAAUCUCCGAGCCUAACUCGGAAACUGCGUCGGAUACUAUUCGGCUCGAGGGUUGGAGGGGGGACUGGAAUACUUGGUGUAGCAGUGAAAUGCGUAGAUAUCGAGAGGAACACCAGUGGCGAAGGCGAGUCCCUGGACAACACCUGACACUGAGGCACGAAAGCUAGGGGAGCAAACAGG